AAAUGCCCUGUACGACCUAAGGGCCUCCACAGCAGGAACAAAAGGAAUUUUGUCUGAGAUUUUAGCAGAAAAGUAAUUUUUGAAAUCUAUUCUUGGAUUUAGACGUUUAUUGGAUUUCAAAGCUUCUUGCUGCCCAGGAGCUUGUGAAUACGGUCAAAGGUCCAUGAAAUUUCCAAAGUGGUACCACAGCAGAUGAACCUGAAUGCAAACUGGAGGGACCAACAGAGUCCAGCCUAUAGACAUAAAUCCUUAACUACACCUAGAUCUCACUGUCUUUUCCAAUGGUCAAAAGAGGGGCUCUUGAAAUGGCUCCAUUGUUUUAUAGAAACAAGGUCUUCCUAAGAAGUCUUUUUCUCCUAUCUUUUUCUUACCCAAAAUAAAGGAAUGGCCCAAAACCUCAAGCCAAGCUUACCAGCUAUAAACAACUUGGUGGUCAGCAGCCAAAAGAAGAGUGGACAUGCCAUGGUCAUGUGGCACGUACCCUAUACAAGCUUCACAGAGAAGAAUGGAAGCACUUGAUUGUAAGACAGAGGGUGAGAUGUGAGAGGAAUAUUAACCUUCACUUUCCACAGGCAUUUUUUUCUGCAAAUGGCACCAGCUUUUGGACUUAAAAUUUUAUUCCAAAUACUAUUUAGAUGCAUCAGGGCCCUCAAAAUAUGGAUUUCAAGUUGGAGACAUCAAAGUGCAUUAUUUACUAAAACCACUGCAGCUUUUUUCCCCUCUCCUUUCACAAGAUGCUAUUGUAAAUUCAGGCUGCUUUAAUCUCUGUGAUUAAAAAAAAAAAGGAAGAAAGAAAAAAAAAGUGCUGCUUGAAGAGGAACUGAACUCACAAUCUGGGAGCUAGAAAGUAAAUAUUACCCAGAGAGUACCUCACUUUAAUUACUGGCCUGAACAUUGGUUUCAAUUUACAUGUAUUUUAAUUAGCCACAGAAGGGUUCACCUAUUACUCUCUGAAUACAAAACUUAAAAAGCAAACAGAAAAUAGGGAAAGAAAGGCUUAUUUAAGGGCCUCCAAGGAUUAAUCUUUGCAUUCUUCUCAUUUUUUCCCCGAAUUUGGGGAUAAAAUUUGUCGCAGGGAAUUUGAUCUUAGGGAAACAUUGAGUUUGGUUUGUGAACACAAGCUACUUCUGAACACUAUUUUAGCAAACAGAAUUUUAGAAGCAUAAGGCUCUAGCAGAGGGCUAUACAGAAUUUUGCAUAAACUAAAUAACAACCGUUUCCUCCUGAAAUGCAGGAAAUCAAGCUGCACGGUCCUUAGGUCUUCAGCAAAGCUUGGACCACUUGGCAAAGUCUUCUGUCUCCAGAGGAAUGAUGGGAAAACUAUGGGACAAAAGUCAGGAGAGUGGUGCUGGCUGAUCCUGGCCUGGACAUUGACUCCCUGGGGACUUUGGUGCUCUCUCGUGCUCUCUCUGUCUCCAGUGAUAAGCUGACCAGAUGCCUUGAAUUAAGUACAGUAUGCAGCAAUGCCAGCCCUGGACUUUUCCCCAACCUAUCACCCAACCCACUUACCUGGAGCCAAGGGUCACCAACAUCUCUAAUAGAAUCCAACUGUGGAAUAGAAAAACUAUUUCGUCUAAGAAGUGGAUCCUAGCUGUCAAAUAAAAAAUCGCUGUUGAA
Molecule: long non-coding RNA, 1617 nt
Filed under: Homo sapiens (human)
Lineage: Eukaryota; Metazoa; Chordata; Mammalia; Primates; Hominidae
Description: uncharacterized LOC102725116, transcript variant 1 (LOC102725116)
Source: RNAcentral